UCACCGAAGUGAAGCAUCAUUGGGCGCGGUCAGUACUUGGGUGGGUGACCGCCUGGGAACACUGCGUGCCGUU
This is a non-coding RNA of Caerostris darwini, 73 nucleotides long. The record is from the annotation of a GenBank genome assembly. Lineage: Eukaryota; Metazoa; Arthropoda; Arachnida; Araneae; Araneidae.